GUACUCACUUCUGCAGCACAUAUACUAAAAUUAGAAUGACACAGAGAAGAUUAGCAUAGUCCCUGUGCAAGAAUGACACACAAAUUCAUGAAGAAUUUCAUAUUUUG
This is a small nuclear RNA of Gorilla gorilla gorilla (western lowland gorilla), 107 nucleotides long. The record is from Ensembl. NCBI's taxonomy places the organism in Eukaryota, Metazoa, Chordata, Mammalia, Primates, Hominidae.